Molecule: ribosomal RNA, 673 nt
Filed under: uncultured bacterium
Lineage: Bacteria
Description: bacterial SSU rRNA
Rfam family: Bacterial small subunit ribosomal RNA
Source: RNAcentral
ACCCUUGAGAGUGGCGAACGGGUGAGUAAUAUAUCGGAACGUGCCCAGUCGUGGGGGAUAACGUAGAGAAAUUUACGCUAAUACCGCAUACGAUCUAAGGAUGAAAGCGGGGGACCGUAAGGCCUCGCGCGAUUGGAGCGGCUGAUAUCAGAUUAGCUUGUUGGUGAGGUAAAAGCUCACCAAGGCGACGAUCUGUAGCUGGUUUGAGAGAACGACCAGCCACACUGGGACUGAGACACGGCCCAGACUCCUACGGGAGGCAGCAGUGGGGAAUUUUGGACAAUGGGCGAAAGCCUGAUCCAGCAAUGCCGCGUGUGGGAAGAAGGCCUUCGGGUUGUAAACCACUUUUGUACGGAACGAAAAGGUCUGCUUUAAUAAAGUGGGCUCAUGACGGUACCGUAAGAAUAAGCACCGGCUAACUACGUGCCAGCAGCCGCGGUAAUACGUAGGGUGCGAGCGUUAAUCGGAAUUACUGGGCGUAAAGCGUGCGCAGGCGGUUAUAUAAGACAGUUGUGAAAUCCCCGGGCUCAACCUGGGAAUUGCAUCUGUGACUGUAUAGCUAGAGUACGGUAGAGGGGGAUGGAAUUCCGCGUGUAGCAGUGAAAUGCGUAGAUAUGCGGAGGAACACCGAUGGCGAAGGCAAUCCCCUGGACCUGUACUGACGCUCAUGCAC